Podarcis lilfordi (Lilford's wall lizard) is the source of this 12036-nucleotide non-coding RNA. Lineage: Eukaryota; Metazoa; Chordata; Lepidosauria; Squamata; Lacertidae. The record is from the annotation of a GenBank genome assembly.
GACCUCCAGCAUGUAAGGCAGUCUGAGCUGGUUGUUCCAAGCUCAGACCAUUUGACCUUUUCACAAAGGCAUCAUUGGAUUCCAAUACCAAUAAUUUAGGAACUUUCACCACUUUCAAACUAACUUAAGUUUUACUGCCUGUGUUUUCUGAAUGCUGUGUGAAAAAGCCCAUGAAUCUGACCUUUGCAGAAUUUGUAAGUAAAUUAUUUUUAACUUACCAAACAUGCAAGUUUCUAUGCUGAGGAAAUUGGGAAACUUUGGAAGGAACUUAGAAGGGCAUACUUUAAAGGUCUACUAGCCUAUAUUUUCACACUUUAUUUUGCUGCUUGUUUGGCCAAGGAAUUUUCCUUUUUAUACCUUUCUUUUUCCUUGCCGCCCAACAAUAAAUACCAAGAGGUGUUGUGGUGGACGUGUGUUCUAUGCAACAUGGAGAAAGCAACUUAAGGACUGCUAAGAUGACAGUGAUGUGGACGGAUCUGUUGGGAAGCCUGGGCCUUGACAUGAGAGGAAAAGCACACUUCCAGCAUUGUAUCAUACUUAAAUAGAAGUUCAGUUCUUCUUUCUUCCAGACAGAAGAGGAAAUAGUGUUUUAUCUUUGAGCACUGGGUUGUGUAAGUUGGCCUUCCUUGAAUCUUACUAGGUGUAAGUCUUAAAACAGAGAUUUUGAUUGGGAGACUUUUAAUAUAUUCCAGUGCUAUAAUGUAGAAUCAAUUCACAUUACAGUGUGACAUGGCAGUGUCUCCUAUGAGGUUUGAUCCCUCAUCAAUAGAAAGGAACCAUGCCAUUAUAGUAGCUGUCAGUUGGAAGAUAGCUCCCAAAUUAUGAGAUUACCACUACAUGACUGGGUUAAUUGUUGGAAACAGCCCAUAAUAAUACCAUUUGAAGAAUUCUUCCUCUGGACAAGUGAGUGGACCAGAUAUCCUUCAGAGCCUUUCCUACGUCUCAGUUCUCUUGUAGCCUUUUCUCCCAAUAUUAGUUAAACAGCAAUUAGGCUAUAGGAGUUACCAAAGCUAUCUUCCUUUCCCUACAGUUUUGUAUUUUUUAAAAAAGCAAGCGCCAACCAAUAUGUAUCCAAAAAUACACUUCCAUAUGGUAUGCAGUGCAAAGAGCCAUGACACUGGGCUCAGCAUAUUUAUUUUUCUCACUGCUCUGCUGAAUACUGUAUUAUUCAAGUUUGGCAAAUGUAUACAUGAGAAGAUCAAAGCCUAAUCUUGGCUUUCCUUGCUACUUUCUGGUUUGGGGUGCUUAUGUUAAUCCUCCUUAAACUAAAGUGGUCAGAGAUUUGAGAGAUGUUUGAAACAUAAAAUAAAUUCUAACCUUGACAUGGAUUAGGCUUGCUAUAUGACACAUAACAGUCAUGCAGGACUAACAUUAUGGAAACAAGUACUGUAGAGGCCAGUGUAAGUCGCAGAACUGACAAAGGCGAUUUUUCUCUUGGGGGAAGAAAUAGGUGGAUAAAUUUGGUUUAAAGGAAGUAAAGUCUCCCUUGAUGAAUCUAUAGCUUAACAUUUUUGCAAGGUUAUUGCUUAUGCAUGCUCAAUCCCCCCCCCUUUCUUUCCUUAUCCAGUAAACACAGCAAUAUUUAGAAGAUGGAAAAUCCACUGUAAAAUUCCAUUCUUUUAUUUUCUAUAAAGCAAGGCUGCAUUGGCAAUAUAAUUAUAGAUUGUACCUCCAGCAAUCAGUGUACAUACAGAUUAUUUACAGCCGCUUCUGCACAAAUUUACUCAGAAGCAAAUCUCGUUGUGGGAUUUAUAGUAAAUCAGUGGGAUUUACUCCCAAGUAAAUGCAUUUAGGAUUGUAGCCUGACAGCCCAAUACUAUGCAUAUUCAAUACAUUCCACUGAAUUAAAAUGGUUUUUACUUGUAUGUAAAUGCACACAGAAUCACAAUGUUUCAAAAGGAAGGAAUACUCAUUUAACUGAAGGCCAAUCCUGAAAUAACAUUAUAUAAUAUUGGGCAGGCUUGUUAUAAGAAUUUCAGUUAAGAAUGCAACCACAUUCUGCUAAAAGUGGGAUUUUGAUUUCAGACACAUGGCUCCAUCAAAGCAGAAUAGCAUCCUUAAAUUGCCAACAGACUUAUCAAAAUUUGCAUAGCUUUUGAUGAAUUUACUGCACCUUCAUCCAGAAAGUGAUCUAUUGUUUUGAGCACCAUAGCAACAAGCAUACAGUACUGUACUAGGCAUUUUCACACUCUCUUCAUUUCAGAAUAUUUUAACCCACUCAUGUCAAACUACCUCACGUCCAGGCUCGAAUGAAGCCCGUGUUUCUGUGAAACCCCAAGUCAAGCACACAUACUAUGAGCCAACUGUUGGCUGCAUAAGCUGCUGACUCCUUAGCACAGAACUGCGUUAACUGUGUUUGCAAAAACUGGUGCUUGGCCUAGUGAUACAAUACAUGGUUUGGCAUUUCACAUGGGUGGAGUGAAAACACCCCUCCGAUACUGGAUUCAGUGAGGUGGGUAUCUCAGAAUGUGGAGGGUUAUUUUUAAAUAUGAGAUGGCUUAUCCUUCAAGGUGAAAUUUAUUUUUAAUAGGAGGGGAAACACACCUUGCCAGUACUUCAAGGUACGCUGCCCUCAGAAGGCCCAACAAUUUUCCCUUUUAAUCUGUGGCAUUAUGCUUCAUUGCAAUGAAACUGCUAGAAUCCUAUAAGCCGUGUCCAGAUGUUUGUUUAUUUACUUGGAAGAUGCUUAACUUUGCUCUUCAACAGAAAAGGCUCCCAAAGCAGCUUAUAUGGAGUCAAGUAAAGCUCGGGGAGGUCCGUUGUCUAAUACCCUGGAGAGCCACUGCCAGCCAGCAUGGACUGUGCUGAGCUAGCUGACUACAUAUAAAGCGGCUUCCUAUGUUUAUAAGACAGUCCCUGCCAGCAGGCUGACAAUCAACAAGGCAAAAUAUUCCAGAGAAAAGAGAUAUUCUUUGAACAUUGCAAAAAUAGAGAGAGAUAAUGUGUUUUCUUCUUCCUGAAAUUCCUAUGCAAGUUUUAAGUGGAGAACAUGUUUUCACAGAUGAUUUUGGAUAUGGUGACAAAAGUAUGCAAAGGGAAAUUUGACUCCCUAACAUUUUCGUUCCCUUUGAUUUUCCCUGACACCUGAAUUUGCCCUGGGGUAUAGCUCCACAAAUACUUCCUCUGGCUUUUCUUUGUCUUCUGGUGUUUGACAGCUCCAAGCUGGGGUAGAGAUAUAGAGCCUGCCUUGACUUCUCUGUUCCUAAAAACACCAACUUCUAAUUAUGGGGCAGUAUGUGCAUGCAGAAGGGGACGCGGGUGGCGCUGUGGGUUAAACCACAGAGCCUAGGACUUGCCGAUCAGAAGGUCGGCGGUUCGAAUCCCCGCAACGGGGUGAGGUCCCGUUGCUUGGUCCCAGCUCCUGCCCACCUAGCAGUUCGAAAGCAUGUCAAAGUGCAAGUAGAUAAAUAGGUACCGCUCCGGCGGGAAGGUAAACGGCGUUUCCGUGCGCUGCUCUGGUUCGCCAGAAGCAGCUUAGUCAUGCUGGCCACAUGACCUGGAAGCUGUAUGCUGGCUCCCUCGGCCAAUAAAGUGAGACAAGCGCCGCAACCCCAGAGUUGGUCACAACGGGACCUAAUGGUCAGGGGUCCCUUUACCUUUACCUUAUGUGCAUGCAGAUAUCUCUAAUGCACUGUUGUGUGCCACCUCAACCUCUGAAUGGUGCAAGAUUCCAGGGGUUCCAGGCAUACCUACACAGGGUCUGUGCUUCCUUUUGGUAAUGAGGCACAGUGGAGACUGUUCUGUCUUUAUUGAUAUAUGCUUUAUUUAUACAUACGGAUAUGCAACCUGAACCUAUGAUGGAGGAGUUCACAGCAAUAACACUCCAAGAGAAUCUUGUUGCUCCCACAGACACAGCUCUGGAUUCAAAACAAGAAUCAGCCAUCGUGCUCUCACCCUCUCUUGCUGAUUUUAACACCCUGCCACCUCCCCCCCCCCCAAUGUCACAUCACAGCAAAUUCAACUCUCAAGACUCUACUUUAAACUCUCAUUUUGUCUUCUAACUCUGAGUUGAGGGAUGUGUCCCUCUCAUUUGCCAGCUGGUUCAGAGACCUGUCUCUUCGGCUUUCCUAAUGACUCAUCACCUUCCUUUUGUCUUCCUAUGGCCCAUCACCCCAGGCGAUCUCCUGGUCUGGAAACUGGUCUGCCUUAUAUCCUAGACCUAGGAUUUUAGGGGAGUCUGGUACCCACAACCUCAAAACAGUAUUGUAGCAAUCCUUCAUAAUCCUAGGGUUUUCUUGUUGCUGUUGUUGUUAUUGGAGAAUUUAAAAGCAAUUGUGAGAGAAAGAUCUUAUUGCUUUUAAAGCACAUAUUUCCAAAUUCAAGGCCUCUGGUAAUGUUUCCAAUUAUCUGUAGUAAAUGUGCAUUUUCUUCACAUUAGCUUUUUCUUCCUGUUCUGUAAAGCUCAACCGCCGAUGUAAUUUUUAGUUGACAUAAAAGAAAUGAGAGCUAUUUUCAGUCAGACCUUUUGUAGGAUUAUGAUGGAGGCUCAAAUCCCAUCACUCCCGCUUUCAUAAAUGUUUCCAUUUGGGACCUCAGCUAAUAAAAUAUUAUUAACCAAUACCUCUAAAAUAGGACUUCAAAUACUCUUUGUGCUAACCAUUUUUGUAAACAUCAGGGUGUUUUGAGAUGGCUUUGCAAGUACCAGUGGUAGCGAUCCUCUCCAGCAGAGUAGAUUUAAGUCUUUGGGGUGCAGGGAGCAUGACACUCUUCCACAAUUUCUGUUGAUGCAUUGGCUAUGGACAGCCACCUACUCUUGAACCGGGUUGCCUUCAGUGAACCUGGAAUAAAUUCAUAUAUUGUGAAUUGGCUCUGAUGUGCACUCAUAAAUGCUCAUGAAAGUCACUCGAGUGAGCAGCAUAAUGUUGGGAAAACAUACUCAUGGUCGAUACAAGAGCAGCUUCUGUGAAUGCAGUGCUUUGGAUUUGCUGAAAUCCCCAUAAUGCCCAGGGAAUUCUCCUUGGCAUUAUAACUUAAACAAAUAGUUAUGUGCCCGUGACUAGAUCAAUGCAUGUAAAUCAGCUCGGGGUGUGUGUGUGUGUGGAUUGGGAGUGCUUAGAUGCUAAGGAAGGAACCCCAUGUUUAUAUCUGAGUUUGACAAGGCACAUUAAGAGAUGAUGCCAUAGUUCCAUGAGAAACAGGUGGAACUGCCUGUGCCCUUCCCCACAGACAAUGGCCCAGAGCUUUGCAGGAUACUUAUAGAGUGGUAACUAUGCAAGAACACAAUUUCAAAGCUGUUGCAAAUGCAGAAUCAGUCUUGGUGCCGUAGUCCUGCUUAGCCGCUUAACUCUUUCAGCAGGACACUCACAGUGGUGUAACGAAGCGGCCUGUUUGCCACUGUUCCUGAAACACAGUAUGGGAUGUGUAGACAGCUGUGAAUGCAUACAACUCUGUAUUCCUACAUCUAAACAAUAAAGGUGAUAUACCUUUUCCUACUCAUGUAGCUUGCCGUUUAGGGCUGGGUUAAGACACAUGUCCACGUAGCCCCUGUAGUUUAAAUAAUGCCUGACUAUGGUUGCACUGACACUAUAUACAAAUGGGAGUGUUCAUUUACUUGCUGAGUUAAAAGGUGGCCUUCCAAGACUGAAGUGUAUCAGGGCUGGCUCUGCCAUGCAGCAGGGUACAGCAACCUACUUCAGGUGGCCCCCAUAAAAGCAGAGAGGAAUAGAUGAAGAUAGGCACAGCAUGAAUGGCACAACAAUGCUUUUGAAAGAGCUGGUCAUAGGCCUCAGGCAGGGAAAUACAUUGAACUGUCACUGGACUGUAAGUCAACAGUGAAGACUGGGCUCAAGAACUGUGCACAUUUCAGAGAUGUAGCUGUACAGUGAACUUUGGGAGGGACACUGAAAGCCUGUAGGUCCACAUUUCAGUUUAGGUCUAGACCACUGUGGAGUCUGGGUCCAAUCCAAAAUGGCCUGUCAUCCACAAGCCCUCCCAACUACCUCUUCUCACUUGCUUAAUCAGAUCAUUCUGGGGAGCAGUGAGAUGGAGGUGAGCUCCUAAAAAACCACUGACGUAUCACAGCAGCAUCCAUGGAGGCCAAGAAAUAUGGAAAAAUUGUUCCCUGCCAAGCAUUGAUGUCCAACGAUUUAAUCAGCACCAGUCCUUCCACUAGGCAGAAUGAGGCAGUCACCUGACAUAGCAGGUGCUGAAGUGGGUGCAAGACAUGAUGGAGAAGUGUCAAAGAAGAGGGUUGUUGCCUGCUCAGCACUUCUUGAGAUAACCUGCUGCCCAUAGGUAUAGUGGAGGACAUUGUCUUUUUGCAAGCAUUUAAAUAAGAUUGAAUUUCCAGUCUAGCUGGGCUCCUUAUGGCAACAAUAGGUCUAGGGACCAGUCAUGGAUUUCAUGAAUAUAUUUUUAAAUGUGGGAGCUAAGAACCCUCUACCUAAACAAUGUAAGCAAAGCUUUCUGCUAUACACCAAUAUUCUUAACCCACAAAAGAAACAGAAGGUGGGAAGGGAAUCUCCCAAACUAUAUUUGGCAGGGGGGAAAUAAACUUGUCAAUACCCCAUUGAAUGGGAAUGGAAAAUCAGCUAAAAACAUGCAAAUAAUUAAAUCUUCCACAUACACCCAAAAUCAGGAUCUGUUUCCAAUUAUUCAUGAACAAAGGGAGGGCUGGUUUGUCAGAUAAUUUAUUCACACCAUGUAAUUCAUCCAGAUCCAGUUGUGAAGAUUAAUUAGCAAAGAGCUUUGAGGAUGAAAAGCUUGGUAAAAGUGCUAAGUGAUAUUAAUCAUUGUGAUUAGAAUGUAAUUGUUUUUUUACUCCUCCUCUGAUGUGACAUAAAGCUCUAAUUUGAGGGGAAAGUCACUAUUUAAAUAAGUUAUUUAAAUAAGAUAUUUACCUGCACUGUGUGUAUUAUAUUAUCCUAGGAAGAGUCCCUACUGUGCUCAGUUUAGGGACUUUUGCAGAAUAAAACAGCGUGCUGUUCCAAUUCCGACUUCAUUGGCAGCGAAUACCUGAGUCUUGUUUCCAAUUUCUGCAAGCAUUCUCCACUCCCUGUACCAGCCAUGCAUGGGGGGGGGGAAUGGGUACCCUUUUCCUUUUGUUUCACCAUCUUUCACCUGAAAUUCAGAAUCAAAAUACCAUACUGGAGAAAAACUAGAGCAUACAUUAACUCCCGUUUAAUAAUGGCUAUAUUCAGACACAGAAUAUACUGCAUUACCUGGUAGCAUGUAGUCAGCUCUCAAAUAUGGUUACAUUUUCUGAAAGUGGAGCAAUUUGUUGGAGAAUCUCUGUUAUGGUUUUUUUAUAUGCUGCUUUGGGGCCCUAAGUUCCCCAAAGCCAUAAACAGCGUGUCAAUACAAAAUAAAGAUAAUACCAAUCAAAACAAUAGAAAACAGUGAAAUCACAAGCUACCCACCAAUUACACUGGGUAUGUGUUUGUAAGCAGCAUUCCUGUUCACACCACACAAAAAGCUCCCCAGAUUUCCAUCUCUCCCCAGCAUUUCGCCAGGCUAACUCACAUCCCCGCAGCUCAUUGGCUGCUCUCAUCUCUCACUUUGAAGCAAGCGAAUGGUCCUACCAGAGUAUCAUUCCCAUUUAUUAUUUAUCCUGCAUUUCCAUCCACUAAGCACUUUACAAUAAAUAAACAUUUAUUGUGCUCUAAGUGCGGAGUGUUAUUUAUAUUGCACUUACCUAUUCUAAGCAAAUUACAAUAUAUAAACGUUCACAAUGAAUUUACAGUAUAUAAAAACGUAGUCUGUGGGAAUGUGGUUUGUCCCACUUUGGAGUACUGAAGUGAAACACUGCAUUGCUAUAAACUCUGUGUGCAUGUUUGUGUGGGUGCAUACACACCAGACAUUGAAAGGCCCCUCAAAAUAACUGUAGUUUACUGCUCAAAGGAUGCUCAGAAGCCCGAACAAUCUACAGUUCCUAGAAUUCCUUGGAAGGAUCAGUCACUCACUAUUUACAAAACCCACAAUAAGAUAUACCUUAAUUAGGCCAAUAAAAACAAAAUAGCACUAAGCUUUUGAAGAGUCAUUCAGUAUCCUUCAUCAGACUAGAACUAGAUGGUUAAACAAAUGAAGGGGGGAGGAUAUUGACUGAUGGUAGCACUACAUGAGACUUCUGCAGGGGGAGACUUUGGUAUUAUGGUGCCCUGAAUGGGGAUAAAAUUUAGCGCACACACCCUUAAAUAUUUCUGAUUUUCACAAUAAUUCAUUUUGCUACAGUUGCUUUUUAAUGGAUCUUAUCAGUAGGUAUCCAGAUAAAUAUAUGUUGUUGUUGUUGUUUUGCCCCCUCUUGGCUCUGCGCCCUGUGCAGUGGAACCACCUGCCCUAAAUCCAGCACUGGCUUCUGCAUCUGGUAAAAGUGUUAAGACAGAAUGUGAGAGAUGGAAACAGACAUUCAAAUGAAGCUCCUUUAAGGUCUACUGGGAGGAAGAAUUAUAACAAUGGCUUAUUCUCCCACUCUGGGAAUACAAAAACAUGACAGUUACCCAAGUCUAUCCUUAGGCAAAAUACACAGGUUCCUUGAUACUUAGGUGGAUUUUUUAAAAAAGAAAGGAAGGAAGGAAGGCAUUUACCUUUUUCUUUCUGUAAACAAAAAAAUUUGGAUUUUGGAUUUUAUACAAUAUGUGGGUGCUUUUUGGGAGCCAAAGUAAUGGUACCCCCCCUCCCCCAAAUCACCUGAUAAGCAAUGCAUGUUUACAUGUCAAGACAACAACAAAGAACUGUCUUGAUUUUUGUCACUAUGUUGCUUUUUUGUCUCAGGCAAAAUGCUAACAUAUUGCAAUAGGGGAGAAAAGUCCCCUGCUUUUUUCUUUUUAAACCGAUACAGGAAAACAGACUUCCCCUGACACAACACACAUGGCUUUGUUUGGAGACAUUUUACUAUUGCAAUAUGCACGAAAUUUAGCAAUGGAUAAAAAAUAUAUAUCCCCCAAACCAUUUGUGCUGUACUUUUUUCAUGUGUCUGGGUUUCUGUUAAACCAAUUUAAGCCUGUGCUGUAGAGCCGCCUGGAGUGUUCUUUCUACAGCCUAAUGGGAGAAAGCAGGGGUUGGCGAGGAGAGAGAAGGAGAAAAGGAACUUGCUAUGGAAGAAUAGCUUUCCUUGCUGCCUUAUUCUCUUCUUUUGAUGAACGUAGCAAUAAGAAUGGAUAAAUAUUGUGCUAUUUUAUUUUCUUGACACAAUCUUUCUAACGUGAACGAGGCAGUAUUUCUUGCUGCCUCGUGUCGCUCGUGAAUUACAGAAACCUGCUCUGCAGAUUUGACCUUUUCUGUAGGCUGUAUUUUGGAUAGAUGGGCCUUCCACUCCAUUUUAUCAGACUCACUUAACUAGCAGAGAAGGGAUAGAAAUAUUUAAGUAGGAGCAGUUGAAGAUGCAUUACUAAAAAGCUUCAAAGCGUAGGAUGUUAUUUCCCAGGACAUAUUCAGCAUUAACAUCCUGCUAUCUCUCUGGAGUUGAGAUAACAGAAAAUUGUGCUACCCGGAAACCACAAUUCUCAUACUAAAGAUUGAAACAGCAAAGUGGAACACUGUGGACUUAAGCUAGUUCAUCCCGUAUUGCUAAAAUGAGGCAUCUUAGAUUCCUCUUGGAUGGAAAUGCAAAGGUAUAUCUUUUUCUUAGCAUGAGUUGGUUUCACAAUAUAGUUUCCUUAUUAGCUGAAAAGGAAGCUCAGCCAUAUAGAAUGGUUUAUUCAAGGACGUAAUUGUAAUUUGCCCUGUUCAUAGCAUAAGAUGCAUAAUAUGCUGGUUUGGCCAUUUCCUGCCUAGGAGUUUGCCUGAGAACUCUUUGCAAGUUGCCUUGACUUCCGUGGAGGAAAGGGGGCAUGUUUAACAAUAGAAAUAAUGAAUCUUAUAUGGUAGUCCUUGAUUUGACAACAUUUUUGUGGUGGGAUUUCUUUUUCCUUUUAGCUUCCCUUAAGCUGCUGGAGAAUUUCGACCCACCUCUGGAAAAUAUCUGGCAAAAUGGCCUCCACAGUGUUGCCAUCUGGGUGCAAAUAUGAAUCCAGUUUUCAUAUUGUUUCAUAUUAUUUUAAUAUUGUUAAAGGAAGCAAUGGGCUUGUCUUCUGCUGUUCCCAGUCCUCCUCUUGUAGCUUGUUGUUUUCUUUGCCCAGUAACAUGAAUUUAAAAUAGAUUUCAUUCAACAUGAAUGUCCUUUUCAGGAAAUAUGCCAAUACUGCAUCCAACAUCCCCAUGCCUUAGGGUUGCCAUAUGUCCUCUUUUUCCAGGACACAUACUCUUUUUCAUGGGUAUGUAAAAUGAGAGUUGUCAUAACGAUCCAUAAUUAAACGUUGUUGUUGUUGUUUAGUCAUUUAGUCGUGUCCGACUCUUGGUGACCCCAUGGACCAGAGCACGCCAGGCACGCCUGUCUUCCACUGCCUCCCGCAGCCUGGCCAAACGCAUGCUGGUAGUUUCGAGAACACUGUCCAACCAUCUCGUUCUCUGUCCUCCCCUUCUCCUUGUGCAUCUUUCCCAACAUCAGGGUCUUUUCCAGGGAGUCUUCUCUUCUCAUGUGGUGGCCAAAAUAUUGGAGCCUCAGCUUCAGGAUCUGUCCUUCCAGUGAGCACUCAGGGCUGAUUUCCUUCCGAAUGGAUAGGUUUGAUCCAUGGGACUCUCAAGAGUCUCCUCCAGCACCAUAAUUCAAAAGCAUCAAUUCUUCGGCGAUCAGCCUUCUUUAUGGUCCAGCUCUCACUUCCAUACAUCACUACUGGGAAAACCAUAGCUUUAACUAUACGGACCUUUGUCGGCAACUUCUAGUUAAACAUAGAAGUUGGCAAACGUGUCCUCUUUUUUGCUUUUCAAAAUAUGGCAACCCUACCCAUGUUUAACAGUUAAUCCCUCUUCUGAGGGAACUCUGAGGCAUUGAUGGCCACCAACAUGGGUGGCUUAAAUUUUUGGGGGGACAAAUUCAUGUAGGACAAGGCUUUCAAUGACUGCUUGCCGAGAGGGCUAUGCUCUGCCACCACAGUUGGAGGCAGGAAUGCUUCUGCACAGGAUAAGAGUGUACUUUUAUGCUUGGGAGAUGCUUGAGGGCUUCCCACGGACAUCUUGGUGGCCACUGUGAGAGCAGGAUGUUGGCCUGGAUGAGCCAUUGGCCUGAUCCAGCAGGCUCUUCUUGUGUUCUUAUGGCUCUCGGCCAUCUUUUGCUCGAUGGGGUUAAUAACUCUGGCCUAUCUUGCAGAGUUGUCAUGAGUAUUACUGAGAUAAUUAGUACUGUGCCAAUAUCUAUCCUCCAAUUUCUCAAUAGUUUUCUUCCCUAGCAAAUUAAGCUUCUGGAGGGCAGGACUUGGACCAAUGGUUUCAAGUUGCAGGAAAGGAGAUUCCGACUACACAUACGGAAAAAAAACUUUAUGGCAGUAAGAGCUGUUUGACAGUGGAACAGUCUCCCUCGGUAGCUUGUGGACUCUCCUUCCUUGGAGGUUUUUAAGCAGAGGUUGGAUGGCCCUCUGUCAUGGAUGCUUUAGCUGAGCUUCCUACAUUGCAGGGGGUUGGACUAGAAGACCCUUCGGUCCCUUCCAACUCUACGAUUUUAUGAUUUUCCUGCCAAGUCCUCAGUGCACUUGAGCUGACCUUAUCACUGUGAGGUGGCCAAGAGUGUUGUGUGUUUCUUUAUUUUUCUGGCACCCUGAACUUCCUGUGUUUUCUGAUUUGAAAAGUUCCAUGGAGGGAUUUUCUUCUGGGCUUUAAUUGGAGCACAGGCACCUGGGAGGGCUAUACAGUGCAGACCCUACCUACCCUUGAGAAUUUCACUAAGAAAUAUCUCUCCUAUGGUAAUUUUGUUUGUGAUUUCUUUUCAUUUUAAUUGAUGGGAAAUGGGAGAAAAAAUGUGGGAGACAUUUUUGGCACAGCACUAAAGAUAAUAUUUGAAGCACUUUGAGACUUCUACGAUUGCGGUUCCAAGCACACACUUACCUGAGAGUAAGCCUCAUUAAACUCAGCAGGUCCUACAUCUGAGUAAACAUGCACAGGCUUGCACUGCACAGCAUGGUUUAAAUGCUAAGGAUUAUUAAUUUGUCACUGUCUCCACAGGGCACAUGGAUUGGGGGAGAGAAGGAACAUGCUGUAUUAGCUUCAAGGAGUAUGUGAACGCCAGCA